UUGGGAUAGCUCAGUCAGUAGAGCAUUGGAUUCUUAAUCUCAAGGUCGUGGGUUCGAGCCCCAUGUUGGGUGAAAAA
This is a non-coding RNA of Podarcis lilfordi (Lilford's wall lizard), 77 nucleotides long. The record is from the annotation of a GenBank genome assembly. Lineage: Eukaryota; Metazoa; Chordata; Lepidosauria; Squamata; Lacertidae.